This is a small nucleolar RNA of Argentina anserina (silverweed cinquefoil), 107 nucleotides long. NCBI's taxonomy places the organism in Eukaryota, Viridiplantae, Streptophyta, Magnoliopsida, Rosales, Rosaceae. The record is from RefSeq and is a predicted model, not a curated record.
AACUUGUGAUGGGGGCAUUGACGUAGUAGACCCUUGAAUUGACUCCACGCUUCAUGUAAUUCAUCCUCAUCUUUCUGCCUGAAUGUACUGAUCUGCUUCUUUAAAUU